AAAAUUUUAGGUAAACAGAAUCUGAACUGGAAAAAGAUUUUCAAACUGCCUUUUGCUGUUACUAAAGAUAGUAAAUUACAGUGGUUGCAAUAUAGGAUUAACCAUUGCAUUAUUGCCACAAAUCAGUAUUUAGUCAAAAUAAAAUUGAGCGAUGAUCCUUUUUGUACAUUUUGUAAAUCAGAUAAUGAGUCUAUAGAACACCUAUUUUGGAAUUGCAAUACUGUACAAAAUUUUCUACAGGAUAUUGAUAACUGGUUCCUUUCCGGUGGAAUAAGUCUUCCAAUGAAUAAAUUAAACUCUCUUUUUGGAGACUUAUCCAAGAUAUUUCCCAACAACCC
RNAcentral lists this long non-coding RNA (338 nucleotides) under Mytilus galloprovincialis (Mediterranean mussel). The record is from RNAcentral. Lineage: Eukaryota; Metazoa; Mollusca; Bivalvia; Mytilida; Mytilidae.